Molecule: transfer-messenger RNA, 392 nt
Filed under: Patescibacteria group
Lineage: Bacteria
Also listed under: 2 other names
Description: UM-FILTER-50-9 sp018700535 Standard tmRNA
Rfam family: transfer-messenger RNA
About the family: Bacterial tmRNA, also known as 10Sa RNA or SsrA, is named for its dual tRNA and mRNA-like properties. Its role is to liberate the mRNA from a stalled ribosome.
Source: RNAcentral
GGGGCUGAUCGGUAUCGAUGGGGGCCACUUACAUCUAUGAUCAAGCCGAGUGGGUGCUGCCACUCGUAAAUCCCUCAGCGCAAGACUACAACUGCAAACAACGUCAUGGCGAAGAUCAAGAAUGCGUUCAGUGUUCCUGCUCUCGCUCCUGUUCUCGCCUAAGGGUUUGAGAACCAUUCGACUUAGCAACGCUCGAUAGCUUUGAUCCGAAUGUCAUAAUUCGAGCUGGUGUAUGAGGUCGUCGAUCUCUCCUACAUAAGAUUGCAGAUCGACAACGCUGUGCGUAUUUGUUCAUGCAUUGAGCGCACAACGUAAACAAGCAUGAAUGCGCUUGGAAACGUCAUUUUGUAAAGACUUACCAGACGGGAGUUCGAUUCUCCCCAGCUCCACCA